This 253-nucleotide ribosomal RNA is filed under the name uncultured bacterium. Its description in RNAcentral is "partial 16S ribosomal RNA". It matches the Rfam family "Bacterial small subunit ribosomal RNA", at positions 524 to 776 of the family's 1533-position model. The record is from RNAcentral.
UACGAAGGGGGCUAGCGUUGCUCGGAAUCACUGGGCGUAAAGCGCACGUAGGCGGCUUUUUAAGUCAGGGGUGAAAUCCUGGAGCUCAACUCCAGAACUGCCUUUGAUACUGGGAAGCUCGAGUCCGGGAGAGGUGAGUGGAACUCCGAGUGUAGAGGUGAAAUUCGUAGAUAUCGGGAAGAACACCCGUGGCGAAGGCGGCUCUCUGGGACGGUACUGACGCUGAGACGCGAAAGCGUGGGGAGCGAACAGG